This 539-nucleotide ribosomal RNA is filed under the name uncultured Bacteroidota bacterium. RNAcentral describes it as "bacterial SSU rRNA". It matches the Rfam family "Bacterial small subunit ribosomal RNA", at positions 224 to 760 of the family's 1533-position model. The record is from RNAcentral. Lineage: Bacteria; Pseudomonadati; Bacteroidota.
GAUGAGCAUGCGUCCCAUUAGCUAGUUGGUAAGGUAACGGCUUACCAAGGCUACGAUGGGUAGGGGUCCUGAGAGGGAGAUCCCCCACACUGGUACUGAGACACGGACCAGACUCCUACGGGAGGCAGCAGUGAGGAAUAUUGGUCAAUGGACGCAAGUCUGAACCAGCCAUGCCGCGUGCAGGAUGACGGUCCUAUGGAUUGUAAACUGCUUUUGUACAGGAAGAAACAACAUUACGUGUAAUGUCUUGACGGUACUGUAAGAAUAAGGAUCGGCUAACUCCGUGCCAGCAGCCGCGGUAAUACGGAGGAUCCAAGCGUUAUCCGGAAUCAUUGGGUUUAAAGGGUCCGUAGGCGGUUUAGUAAGUCAGUGGUGAAAGCCCAUCGCUCAACGGUGGAACGGCCAUUGAUACUGCUAGACUUGAAUUAUUAGGAAGUAACUAGAAUAUGUAGUGUAGCGGUGAAAUGCUUAGAGAUUACAUGGAAUACCAAUUGCGAAGGCAGGUUACUACUAAUGGAUUGACGCUGAUGGACGAAAGC